Molecule: long non-coding RNA, 630 nt
Organism: Grammomys surdaster
Lineage: Eukaryota; Metazoa; Chordata; Mammalia; Rodentia; Muridae
Exons: 3
Source: RefSeq, a predicted model, not a curated record
CAAACAGUCUGUUCCUGACUCACCAGAGAGAGCGGCAGGCUGGCACUCCCCCAUGACCCAGAGGCUGUGCACGGUGAGGGCCCAUUCCAGGAAAGCUUCUUGGUCAAGCCCAGUUCAGCGUUUCCUUGCAAGCCCCCUCAUCCCUCCAGGCUUCUCCUGCCAGAGGACAGUAAGCCAAGAGCGUGGACUAACCAGACUUUAGAGUUGGUUCUCAAACACACUGGUGGGGGAAGAACUGAAAGAAUAAACAUCUCUCAGGAUCCAAAUCUGGCCUUCAAGAUGAUGAGAGCCGCCUCCUCCAGCAGAGCUUUCUCUCACAGGCUGUGGCGCCAGCCACUGAUACUCCACAGCACGUUUGCCGUCCAUUCUUUGCAGUAGCCUGUCCUAUACAGUCGCUUGGGAGACAAGGGAUCAUGGGUGAUAGACUUUGCAGUCAGACUUUCCAGAUUCAAUCCCACAUCUCCCUUUUACAAAGCAAGUGAAUGGGCAAGACCGACUCAUCCUCCACUUCUUCCAGUAGGAGUCUGCUUCUCCUUGCCUGUUGAAGUUGGGUGUGGCAAUCGGACAUCCUCUGGCUGGUGAAGCAUGAAGCAGCAGGUAUCACUUCCCAGCAGAUGCAGGACCCUCCGC